RNAcentral lists this ribosomal RNA (492 nucleotides) under uncultured bacterium. Its description in RNAcentral is "partial 16S ribosomal RNA". It matches the Rfam family "Bacterial small subunit ribosomal RNA", at positions 29 to 507 of the family's 1533-position model. The record is from RNAcentral.
AGUGAACGCUGGCGGUAGGCCUAACACAUGCAAGUCGAACGGCAGCACAGUAAGAGCUUGCUCUUACGGGUGGCGAGUGGCGGACGGGUGAGGAAUACAUCGGAAUCUACUUUUUCGUGGGGGAUAACGUAGGGAAACUUACGCUAAUACCGCAUACGACCUACGGGUGAAAGCAGGGGAUCUUCGGACCUUGCGCGAUUGAAUGAGCCGAUGUCGGAUUAGCUAGUUGGCGGGGUAAAGGCCCACCAAGGCGACGAUCCGUAGCUGGUCUGAGAGGAUGAUCACCCACACUAGAACGGAAACACGGUCCAGACUCCUACGGGAGGCAGCAGUGGGGAAUAUUGGACAAAGGGCGCAAGCCUGAUCCAGCCAUACCGCGUGGGUGAAGAAGGCCUUCGGGUUGUAAAGCCCUUUUGUUGGGAAAGAAAAGCAUCAGGUUAAUACCCCGCUGUUCUGACGGUACCCAAAGAAUAAGCACCGGCUAACUUCGUG